Molecule: ribosomal RNA, 255 nt
Filed under: uncultured bacterium
Lineage: Bacteria
Description: partial 16S ribosomal RNA
Rfam family: Bacterial small subunit ribosomal RNA
Source: RNAcentral
GACGUAGGUGGCGAACGUUAUCCGGAAUUAUUGGGCGUAAAGGGUGCGUAGGUGGUGUAGUAAGUUAUCGGUGGUAAAUCGAGGCUCAACCUCGUGGAAGUCGGUAAUACUGCUAUGCUAGAGGAUAGGAGAGGUUAACGGAACUCCCUGUGGAGCGGUGAAAUGCGUAGAUAUAGGGAAGAACACCAAUAAGGCGAAGGCAGUUAACUAUUCUAUUCCUGACAUUGAGGCAUGAAAGCGUGGGGAGCAAAACGG